GGACAAGAGCAAGACUUCGUCUCAAAAAUAAUAAUAAUAAGAAUAAUAAUAAUUCGAAUAAUCUAGAGAGUCAAAGAGGAAUGAGUAUGGAGAAAUGUUUUUUAUUUUCGAUAUGUUUCAAAGUGCUUUUGUCAUAUUCAGAUGGCCGUGUCAAGUAUGUGGAAAGUAAAUGUAAAAGCUUAAAACAGGUUGGGGAGGAAGAAAUAGAUUUGAGAGUCAUGUGUAUAGUGGAGUUCAAGUCACCAUAAUGGGUGAGAUUGCCAGUGGGAGUAGGUAGAGCUUGAGGAGAAAAGACCAAGGACAAACUCCAGGUUAAAUAUCUGCAGAAAGGGAGGCAGGCUGCCUUAUGCAAUCAUUUCUACCACCCCAAAAAUGCUAAUAAAAUUUUUUUUUUUUUUGAGAUAGAGUCUCACCCUGAUGUCCAGGCUGGAGUGCAAUCACUCAGUCUCGGCUCACUGCAACCUCCACCUCCUGGGUUCAGAUGCUGUUGACUGGGGCAAAGAAUAAUGGGAGAAAAACAGCUGGGUCCUAAAUAACAGAGGGAAACCAACUUUCAAUAAAGUAUUCAACAACUAAUCCACAAAGCAGAUAACUGAAAUGGAGUCUCACUCUGUCGCCCAGGCUGGAGUACAGUGGCGCAAUCUCGGCUCACUACAAACUCCGUCUCCCGGGUUCAAGCCAUUCUCCUGCCUCAGCCUCCCAAGCAGCUGGGACUACAGACGCCCCCCACCAUGCCCGGCUAUUUUUUUUUUAUUUUUUGUAGAGACGGGGUUUCACCGUGUUAGCCAGGAUGGUCUCGAUCUCCUAACCUCGUGAUCUGCCCGCCUCGGCCUCCCAAAGUGCUGGGAUUACAGGCGUGAGACACCGCGUCUGGCUAAUUAUGGUUAUUCUUAUCAUCAUCAUUUGAAAGAACAGUUGUAAAUAAAGAGAGUAAAUAAAUUAUCCUCCUUGUUCCUAAAAAGACGUUUUGUUAUAAAAGUCUUCUUUAUCAAUAAGAUGAAGUAAUGGAGGCAGGAGACAAGUGACAAUAAAAAACAGUCAUAAAAAAAGAACUGCAGAAACUAAGGUCUUAACCCAAAUUAGCAAAAGCAAAAUUGAAGCUCAAUUUUCAUUUUGGAAUAGCUCUACAAUUCCAUAAAUCUGCAAUUAAAGGUUUCUAGAUACCAAAGAGACACAAUGAAAGAGACAAAACAACAAAAAACACAUAAACACAGAUACAGAACUAGAGACUGCGACAGGUGGAGCACAUGACACAAUAGACUGACAGAGAAUAAAUCAAAAGAACAGAGAGGUGGACCAGAAAGAAAACAAGAAUUCAUGCUCUGUUUCACAGUAAUUUACGACUUCCCAAGCAGCCAGUUCUCCCAUCUCCCACUCUCCUUCCUUCCAGCUCCAUACAACUUACAUUAAAAGAUGCCAGGGCCUCAGAGACACUCUUCUCGAUGAACUCAUCAGUGAUUCUUCGGGAAGGAUGUUCAUUAAACACAGAAUUCAUUAGCGCAAUCUUUGCAGCACUCCUCCGGGCCUCAGCUUUUGUGGGGCAAAACUAGGCAGGGGAGAAAGAGUGAGAAUAUGUGUAUUUGUGCAUAUGAGAGAGAGGAAGGAACAGUGGGAGGGAAACACUUCAGAUAGAAAACACUUGGACGCUCUUUGGAUAAAUCAGUUGUGUUCAACACACUUUCCAAGGUUUUUAUGGUAAAGUGGUUGGGAUGUUUGGAAACAUAAUUUUGAUUCAACAUCCUGAAGUCAUUAAGGAACUGGGAGAGGGCUGUAGCUCAUACCAAACUGAAUGCAGAACGAGGAAGGCUGCUUAAGUCAGCAUAUAAUCACUGGUCAUGAAAAAUACCCGUUUAAACUGUCGACAGAAUUAGUUACUCAAAAGUCAGAUUCUGGCCGGCUUAAUAGAAAUCUGUAUCUUGUUCUGCGGACAGGUAAGGUUUUUUGGAUUCCUCUAGAUAACCCAAGAUUAGAACCAAAGCUGUGUCUAGGCUGCUUCUACAGAGGCCACUGGUCUCUAUCAGAAGCACCCAUCUUGGAAUCUCGGACUUCAUUUUUAGCUGUGAGCAGGCAUUUUCUCAAAUAACGUAGUGAGCCAAAGGAGCUAUCCCUGAGAAGGGUUUAAGUCUG
This 2127-nucleotide long non-coding RNA is filed under the name Homo sapiens (human). RNAcentral's name for it is "HSALNT0014224". The record is from RNAcentral. Lineage: Eukaryota; Metazoa; Chordata; Mammalia; Primates; Hominidae.